This 18-nucleotide small nuclear RNA is filed under the name Arabidopsis thaliana (thale cress). RNAcentral describes it as "snRNA_04234". The record is from RNAcentral. Lineage: Eukaryota; Viridiplantae; Streptophyta; Magnoliopsida; Brassicales; Brassicaceae.
UUUAACAUUCAUUAAGCA